This 380-nucleotide ribosomal RNA is filed under the name uncultured eukaryote. RNAcentral's name for it is "partial 18S ribosomal RNA". It matches the Rfam family "Eukaryotic small subunit ribosomal RNA", at positions 592 to 976 of the family's 1831-position model. The record is from RNAcentral.
CAAUAGCGUAUAUUAAAGUUGUUGCGGUUAAAAAGCUCGUAGUUGGAUUUCUGCUGAGAACGACCGGUCCGCCCUUUGGGUGUGUAUCUGGCUCUUUCUUGGCAUCUUCUUGGUGAACGUUGCUGCACUUGACUGUGUGGAGCGCUACCCAGGACUUUUACUUUGAGGAAAUUAGAGUGUUUCAAGCAGGCAUACGCCUUGAAUACAUUAGCAUGGAAUAAUAAGAUAGGACCUCGGUUCUAUUUUGUUGGUUUCUAGAGCUGAGGUAAUGAUUAAUAGGGAUAGUUGGGGGCAUUCGUAUUUAACUGUCAGAGGUGAAAUUCUUGGAUUUGUUAAUGACGGACUACUGCGAAAGCAUUUGCCAAGGAUGUUUNCAUUGA